CAGACCGUCGUGAGACAGGUCGGUCCCUAUCUGCUGUGGGCGUUCGAAAUUUGCGGAGGUAUCUCUUUAGUACGAAAGGACUUAGAGGUAGGCGGCUCUGGCGUUCCAGUUGUCAAGCCCUUGGCACGGCUGGGUAACUAACCGCCGACAGGAUAAACGCUGAAAGCAUAUAAGCGUGAAGCCUUCUCCCAGAUCAGAUUUCGUAGAAUUUAUUCGGAAGUCCCCAAGGAGACGACUUGGUAGAUAGGCCGAACGUGUUCGCGCAGUAAUGCGUUUAGCGAAUCGGUACUAACGGACGAACUCUUAUUCGC
This 311-nucleotide ribosomal RNA is filed under the name Thermoguttaceae bacterium. Its description in RNAcentral is "partial 23S ribosomal RNA". It matches the Rfam family "Bacterial large subunit ribosomal RNA", at positions 2612 to 2925 of the family's 2925-position model. Lineage: Bacteria; Pseudomonadati; Planctomycetota; Planctomycetia; Pirellulales; Thermoguttaceae. The record is from RNAcentral.